GGGGAAUUGUUCGCAAUGGGCGCAAGCCUGACGACGCAACGCCGCGUGGAGGACGAAGAGCUUCGGGUCGUCAACUCCUUUCGAUCGGGAAGAACGUUUCCGGGGUGCAUAAUCCCGGGAAGUGACGGUACCGAGAGAAGAAGCCCCGGCUAACUCCGUGCCCGCCGCCGCGGUAAUACGGGGGGGGCAAUCGUGGUUCGGAAUUACUGGGCGUAAAGGGCGUGUAGGUGGCCAACUAAGUCCGACGUGAAAUCCCCAGGCUUAACCUGGGAACUGCGUCGGAUACUGGAUGGCUUGAAUUCGGGAGAGGAAUGCAGAAUUCCAGGUGUAGCGGUGAAAUGCGUAGAUAUCUGGAGGAAUACCGGUGGCGAAGGCGGCAUUCUGGACCGACAUUGACACUAAAGCGCGAAAGCCAGGGGAGCAAAC
This 426-nucleotide ribosomal RNA is filed under the name uncultured bacterium. RNAcentral describes it as "bacterial SSU rRNA". It matches the Rfam family "Bacterial small subunit ribosomal RNA", at positions 356 to 773 of the family's 1533-position model. The record is from RNAcentral.